RNAcentral lists this transfer RNA (90 nucleotides) under Erythrobacter sp. RNAcentral describes it as "tRNA-Ser". It matches the Rfam family "tRNA". Rfam says of the family: Transfer RNA (tRNA) molecules are approximately 80 nucleotides in length. Their secondary structure includes four short double-helical elements and three loops (D, anti-codon, and T loops). Lineage: Bacteria; Pseudomonadati; Pseudomonadota; Alphaproteobacteria; Sphingomonadales; Erythrobacteraceae. The record is from RNAcentral. RNAcentral also lists the same sequence under 3 other names.
GGAGAGGUGGCAGAGAGGUCGAAUGCGCCGCACUCGAAAUGCGGUGUACUGGCAACAGUACCGUGGGUUCGAAUCCCACCCUCUCCGCCA